CAGAAAGUAGUUUAUUUAAAAUAUUAGUUUUGGAGAUUAAUGAAAAGGUUUUCUUUUUUCUGA
RNAcentral lists this transfer RNA (63 nucleotides) under Tenebrionoidea sp. 18 KM-2017. RNAcentral's name for it is "tRNA-Pro". Lineage: Eukaryota; Metazoa; Arthropoda; Insecta; Coleoptera. The record is from RNAcentral.